RNAcentral lists this ribosomal RNA (454 nucleotides) under uncultured bacterium. RNAcentral's name for it is "bacterial SSU rRNA". It matches the Rfam family "Bacterial small subunit ribosomal RNA", at positions 8 to 507 of the family's 1533-position model. The record is from RNAcentral.
AGAGUUUGGAUCCUGGCUCAGAACGAACGCUGGCGGCAGGCCUAACACAUGCAAGUCGAACGGGACCUUCGGGUCUAGUGGCAGACGGGUGAGUAACGCGUGGGAAUCUACCCAUCUCUACGGAACAACUCCGGGAAACUGGAGCUAAUACCGUAUACGUCCUUCGGGAGAAAGAUUUAUCGGAGAUGGAUGAGCCCGCGUUGGAUUAGCUAGUUGGUGGGGUAAUGGCCUACCAAGGCGACGAUCCAUAGCUGGUCUGAGAGGAUGAUCAGCCACACUGGGACUGAGACACGGCCCAGACUCCUACGGGAGGCAGCAGUGGGGAAUAUUGGACAAUGGGCGCAAGCCUGAUCCAGCCAUGCCGCGUGAGUGAUGAAGGCCCUAGGGUUGUAAAGCUCUUUCAACGGUGAAGAUAAUGACGGUAACCGUAGAAGAAGCCCCGGCUAACUUCGUG